Molecule: small nucleolar RNA, 107 nt
Organism: Gossypium arboreum
Lineage: Eukaryota; Viridiplantae; Streptophyta; Magnoliopsida; Malvales; Malvaceae
Rfam family: Plant small nucleolar RNA R71
About the family: R71 is a member of the C/D box family of snoRNAs containing the C (UGAUGA) and D (CUGA) box motifs.
Source: Rfam
AUUCCGUGAUGAGGGCAUCUUUAUAAUAGUUCUUUAAGUCUUUCCAACGCCUCAUACAAGGAUUCAUCAUCCAUUUGUUGGAAGGUAGUGAUCUCAUUCCACAACAU